Molecule: transfer RNA, 85 nt
Filed under: Felis catus (domestic cat)
Lineage: Eukaryota; Metazoa; Chordata; Mammalia; Carnivora; Felidae
Rfam family: tRNA
About the family: Transfer RNA (tRNA) molecules are approximately 80 nucleotides in length. Their secondary structure includes four short double-helical elements and three loops (D, anti-codon, and T loops).
Source: Rfam by way of RNAcentral
GCCUGGGUGGCUUGGUCGGUUAAGCGUCUGACUUUGGCUCAGGUCAUGAUCUCGCGGUCCGUGAGUUCAAGCCCCACAUCGGGCU